GAUGAACGCUAGCUACAGGCUUAACACAUGCAAGUCGAGGGGCAGCAUGGUCUUAGCUUGCUAAGGCCGAUGGCGACCGGCGCACGGGUGAGUAACGCGUAUCCAACCUGCCUUACACUCUUGGACAGCCUUCUGAAAGGGAGAUUAAUACAAGAUGUUAUCAUGAGUAAGCAUUUUCGCAUGAUUAAAGGUUUACCGGUGUAAGAUGGGGAUGCGUUCCAUUAGAUAGUAGGCGGGGUAACGGCCCACCUAGCCGACGAUGGAUAGGGGUUCUGAGAGGAAGGUCCCCCACAUUGGAACUGAGACACGGUCCAAACUCCUACGGGAGGCAGCAGUGAGGAAUAUUGGUCAAUGGGCAGAGCCUGAACCAGCCAAGUAGCGUGAAGGAUGAAGGUCCUACGGAUUGUAAACUGCUUUUAUAAGGGAUAAAGUGAGUCUCGUGAGACUUUUUGCAUGUACCUUAUGAAUAAGGACGGCUAAUUCCGUGCCAGCAG
Molecule: ribosomal RNA, 494 nt
Filed under: uncultured bacterium
Lineage: Bacteria
Description: bacterial SSU rRNA
Rfam family: Bacterial small subunit ribosomal RNA
Source: RNAcentral